ACAGCUUUGCCUUGUAAGGAUCCAUUAUUGGGGAUUAGGGCUUGUAAGAACGUGAGGAUAGGUAGAGGAUUCUGACCAUAGGAUUCACAGGCAUCCAUCUUUGCAGUUCUUAAAAGAAAUCAUUCAGUUAGCAUCUUUUUUCCUCCAGGGUUCUCUGAGCCUCAUCGGCUCACCAUCGGUCUCACCUAUGUCCUCUCAUUUUGCAUUCUCUCAGUCCUUGAGGUCAUUCUUCUUGCCAAGAGAUUCCUGUCCCUGUUGUGUCCCCCUUGUUUGUCCUGUCCUGUGUCACGGGUGUCUGCACGUAUUUGUGCCGGAGCUGCUCUGCCCUGCUGCAUAGUCUGGUGUAAUAGGACACAUCCUGGGGGCUUGAAAUUUGUAGUGUGGGGUGUAGUUGGAUUAUAGAUAGUAUUCCUAGGUUGACCCAAGCUGUCUGGAGGUGUGAAGUGGUCCUGCAGCCCUUUGACCUUUGUCCUAACUUUCUUUCAGAUGCAGAUGGAUAAAAUCCAUGACAGAGCAGCCCAUCGCAGGAAGUAAAGCCAUAUAGCAACAGUCAAGUUGAAGUGGUCAAGGCAAUCUACUCAGGUUAUGGCAAGCCCCUGUCACCAACCGGCCAAUGGACCAGGUUUGCUGCUCUCACGAGCCCUGUGGAGGUAUUGCAGGACCCUGUGAUGAAGCCUUGAAAUUUUCUAUUUAAAAGUCGCUUCUGGGUAGCCCUCAGGAAUGGCCGAGGAGUCGUGGUGAGUCGGGGAGGUAUCGAGGAGAAGCCGGGGUCCACUCAAUUCUCAGGUGUGCUACAUCACCUCGCCUCCUCUUUACCCAGGCGUACCCUGCGAUGACUGCAUCGGUCUCAGAGCAUGGCCGAAGCGUGCGGCCCGAGGACCCGGUCACUCUUAGGAGGCGACUAGGAGACAGCAGCCUGGUGACAGCAGGAACCUCCCAGACAGCCUGGUGGUCUUCCUUUGCACCUGAUGUGGAUUCUCAUUCCUGGAGAGCCAAGAGAUAAGUUGAGGGCUGUGACUUACAGAGGGGAUGGAAGGGGGCUGCUGUGUCGGGACUCACCAGGUGGGAUUUUUGAGUCAGCUUUGGAGCUGAGGAUAUCCAGGAAAUGUUGUCUUGAGCCCACACAAAAGCAAAGUGUCGCUUUUGAUCCCAGUGCUGAGGUGCGCAGGGCAGAGCAGUCCCGGCGUGUGUUGUGUCACGUGGCUAUUGUGCAUUAUGUGUUGUUUAAUGUCUUUUCCCUUAGCCCUUUGAGGGGCCUAACAGAAACCCUGGCAUCAUUCUUAGCAUCUGUGAUCUCUGCAUUUCUUGGCCUGGCACCAAUGCCACAGGACUUUUGACUCAGGAGCUCAGACAGGCAUCAGAAUUGCAUUUCUCUUUAGGAGCAUCCAGUCAGAUGUCUUUGCAGGUCUUGUUCUGAGCUGUAUGUACCUUGCAAGGAUCCAUUAUGGCAGAUUAGGGCUUGUAAGAAUGCAAGGAUAGGUAGAGGAUGCUGACUGUAGGAGUCUCAGACAUCCGUCUUUGUAGAUCUUGGAAUAAACUGUUCUCUUAUCAGAUUCUUCCUCCAGGGUUCUCUGAGCCUCAUCAGCUUGCCAUCAGUCUCAUCUCGGUCAUCUAAUCUUCCGUUCUCUCAGUCCUUGCAGUCAUUCUUCUUGCCAAGAGAUUCCUGUCCCUGUUGUGUCCCCCUUGUUUGUCAUGUCAUGUCCUGUGUCACGGGUGUCUGCACAUAUUUGUGCCGGAGCUGCUCUGCCCUGCUGCAUAGCCUGGUGUAAUAGGACAAAUCCUGGGGGCUUGAAAUUUGUAGUCUGGGCUGUAGUUGGACUCUAGAUGAUAUUCCUAGGCUGACCCAGAUGUCUGGAGCUGUGAAGUUGUCCUGCAGCCCUUUUACAUUUUUCCUGACUUUCUUUCAGAUGCAGAUGGAUAAAAUCCAUGGCAGAGCGCCCCAUCCCAGGAAGUAAAGUGAUAGAGCAACAGUCAAGUUGAAGUGGUCAAGGCAAUCUACUCAGGUUAUGCCAAGCCCCUGUCACCAACCAGCCGAUUGACCAGGUUUGCUGCUCUCAUGAGCCCUGUGGAGGUAUUGCAGGACCCUGUGAUGAAGCCUUGAAAUUUUCUAUUUAAAGGUUGCUUCUGGGUAGCCCUCAGGAAUGGGCAACGAGCCGUGGUGAGUUGGGGGGUAUCGAGGAGGAGCUGGGGUCCGCUCAGUUCUCAGCUAUCCUACAUCACCUCGUCUCCUCUUUACCCAGGCGUACCCUGUGACGACAGCGUCGGUCUCAGAGCACGGCCGAAGCGUGCGGGCCGAGGACCCGGUCAUUCUUAGGAGGCGUUGAGUAGCAGAAUUUUCGGGUUUUGGUCGAUAUGCUGCUAAGAUGAUGCACUGAUGUCUGGUUUCCUUUAUCUUGACAGACUAGGAGACAGCAGCCUGGUGACAGCAGGAACCUCCCAGACAGCCUGGUGGCCUUGCUUUGCACCUGAUGUGGAUUCUCAUUCCUGGAGAGCCAAGAGAUAAGUUGAGGGCUGUGACUUACAGAGGGGAUGGAAGGGGGUUGCUGUGUCAGGACUCACCAGGAGGGAUUUUUGAGUCAGCUUUGGAGCUGAGGAUAUCCAGGAAAUGUUGUCUUGAGCCCACACAAAAGUGAAGUGUCACUUUUGAUCCCAGUGCUGAGCUGAGCAGAGGAGGGCAGUCCCGGUGUGUUUUGUCAUGUGGCUAUUGUGCAUUGUGUUGUGUGGCUGUCUCAUGUCUUUUACCUUAGCCCUUUGAGGGGCCUAUCAGAAACCCUGGCAUCAUUCUUAGCAUCUGUGAUCUCUGCAUUUCUUGGCCUGGCACCAAUGCCACAGGACUUUUGACACAGGAGCUUGGACAGGCAUUGGAAUUGAAUUUCUCUUUAGGAGCAUCCAGUCAGAUAUCUUUGCAGGUCUUGUUCUGAGCUGUAUGUACUGCUGUGCAUCGCAAGGAUCCAUUAUGGCAGAUUAGGGCUCGUAAGAAUGCAAGGAUAGGCAGAGGAUUCUGCCCAUAGGAUUCUCGGACAUCCAUCUUUGUAGAUCUUGGAAUAAACUGUUCUCUUAUCAGAUUCUUCCUCCAGGGUUCUCUGAGCCUCAUCGGUCUCACCUCGGUCAUCUAAUCUUGCGUUCUCUCAGUCCUUGCAGUCAUUUUUGCCAAGAGAUUUCUGUCCUUGUUGUGUCCCCCUUGUUUGUCAUGUCGUGUCCUGUGUCACGGGUGUCUGCACAUAUUUUUGCCGGAACUGCUCUGCCCUGCUGCAUAGCCUGGUGUAAUAGGACAAAUCCUGGGGGCUUGAAAUUUGUAGUGUGGGGUGUUGUUGGAUUAUAGAUGGGAUUUGUAGAUGGACCCAAGAUGUCUGGAGCUGUGAAGUUAUCCUGCAGCCCUUUGACGUUUGUCCUCACUUUCUUUUAGAUGCAGGUGGAUAAAAUCCAUGGCAGAGCAGCCCAUCGCAGGUGCGUGGGUUGCCCUGAGCAGGAAGUAAAGCCACAUAUCAGAAGUCAAGGCGAGGUGGUCAAGGCAAUCCAUUUGGAGUAUGCAUAACUCCCCAUCACACACUGGCCGAUGGACUGUGAUCAUUGCUCUCGUGAGCCCUGUGGAAGUAUUACAGGACUUGGUGAUGAAGCCUCUGCCUUUCCUAUUUAAAGGUGUCACCCGGGUAGCCUUUGGCCGCGGCUGAGGAGUUGCAGCGGACCCUGCGAUGACGGCGUCAGCCUCCGAGCGCAGCCGAAGCGUGCGGCAUUCAUAAGGGACCCAAGCAUUGCUAGGGGAAGGCUGACUAAGAGACAACAGCCCGGUGACAGCAGGAACUUCCCAGACGGCGCGGCGGCCUUCUUUUGCAUCUGACACGGAUUGGCAUCUGCAGAUAAGUCGAUGGCUGUGACCCACAGAGGGGAUGAUAGUGGGGUGCUGGGUUGGGACUCACAGGGAGGGAUUUUUGAGUCUGCUUUGGAGUUGGGGAUGUCCAAGAAGUGGCCCCUUAGGCCACACAAAAGCCAAGCGUCACUUUUGAUCACAAUGCUGAGGUGCUCAGGGCAGAGCAGUCCCGGAGGGUAUCGUGUCAGUUGUCUACUGUGCGUUCUGUGUUUUUGGCUUUCUCAUGUCUUUUACCUUAGCCCUUUGAGGGGCCUAUCAGAAACCCUGGCAUCAUUCUUAGCAUCUGCGAUCUCUGCAUUUCUUGGCCUGGCACCAAUGCCACAGGACUUUUGACUCAGGAGCUCAGACAGUCAUCAGAAUUGCAUUUCUCUUUAGGAGCAUCCAGUCAGACGUCUUUGAAGGUCUUGUUCUGAGCUGUAUUUACCUUGCAAGGAUCCAUUAUGGCAGAUUAGGGCUUGUAAGAAUGCAAAGAUAGGUAGAGGAUGCUGACCGUAGGAUUCUCAGACAUCCAUCUUUGUAGUUCUUGGAAUAAACCAUUGUCUUAGCAGGUUAUUCCUCCAGGGUUCUGGGAGCCUUAUCAGCUCGCCAUCAGUCUCAUCUCGGUCAUCUAAUCUUCCGUUCUCUCAGUCCUUGCAGUCAUUCUUCUUGCCAAGAGAUUCCUGUUGUGUCCCCCUUGUUUGUCAUGUCGUGUCCUGUGUCACGGGUGUCUGCACAUAUUUGUGCCGGAGCUGCUCUGCCCUGCUGCAUAGCCUGGUGUAAUAGGACAAAUCCUGGGGGCUUGAAAUUUGUAGUGUGGGGUGUAGUUGGAUUAUAGAUGGGAUUUGUAGAUGGACACAGGGUGCCUGGAGCAGUGAAAUUAUCCUGCAGCCCUUUGACAUUUGUCCUGACUUUCUUUCAGAUGCAGGCAGAUAAAAUCUGUGGCAGAGCACCCCAUCCUGGCUGAGGGGGUUCCUCCGAGCAGGAAGUAAAGCUGGAUAUCAGCAGUCAAGGCAAUCCAUUUGGAGUAGGCCGAGCCCCCCCACCCCCCAACCGGCCAAUGGAUCUGGUUUGCUGCUCUUGCGAGCCCUGUGGAGGUUUUGCAGGACUCUGCGAUGAAGCCCUGAACCUUUCUGUUUAAAGGUGCCAUCCGGCUGGCCUUUGGCAGCUGCCGAGGAGUUGCGGCACACCCUGCCACAAUGGCAUCGGCCUCCAAGCGUUGCUGAAGCUAAUGGCAUUAGGAGAUGCUAUGAGGCAGCAGCCCAGUGACAGCGAGAACUUCCCAGAUGGCAAGGCGGCCUUCUUUUGCACCUGAUGCAGAUUGGCAUCCCCAGAUGUCUGAGAGAUAAGUCAAGGGCUACAACUUGCCGAGGGGGUGAAUGUGGGGUGCUGGGUUGGGACUCACCGGGAGGGGUUUUUGAGUCUGCUUUGGGGCUGAGGCUAUCCAAGUAGUGUCCCCUUAGGCCACAUAAAGGGAAAGUGUCACUUUUGAUCCCAGUGCUGAGGUGCGCAGGGUAGAGCAGUCCCAGUGUGUAUCGUGUCACUUGUCUAACGUACCUGGUGUUGUUUAUAUGUCUCAUGUCAUGCAUCGUCUACCUUAGCCCUUUGAGGGGCCCAUCAGAAACCCUGGCAUCAUUCUUAGCAUCUGUGAUCUCUGCAUUUCUUGGCCUGGCACAAAUGCAGUAGGACUUUUGGCUCAGGAGCUCAGACAGGCAUCAGAAUUGCAUUUCUGUUUAGGAGCUUCCAGUCAGAUGUCUUUGCAGGUCUUGUUCUGAGCUGUAUGUACCUUGCAAGGAUCCAUUAUGGCAGAUUAGGGCUUGUAAGAAUGCAAGGAUAGGUAGAGGAUGCUGACUGUAGGAGUCUCAGACAUCCGUCUUUGUAGAUCUUGGAAUAAACUGUUCUCUUAUCAGAUUCUUCCUCCAGGGUUCUCUGAGCCUCAUCAGCUUGCCAUCAGUCUCAUCUCGGUCAUCUAAUCUUCCGUUCUCUCAGUCCUUGCAGUCAUUCUUCUUGCCAAGAGAUUCCUGUCCCUGUUGUGUCCCCCUUGUUUGUCAUGUCAUGUCCUGUGUCACGGGUGUCUGCACAUAUUUGUGCCGGAGCUGCUCUGCCCUGCUGCAUAGCCUGGUGUAAUAGGACAAAUCCUGGGGGCUUGAAAUUUGUAGUCUGGGCUGUAGUUGGACUCUAGAUGAUAUUCCUAGGCUGACCCAGAUGUCUGGAGCUGUGAAGUUGUCCUGCAGCCCUUUUACAUUUUUCCUGACUUUCUUUCAGAUGCAGAUGGAUAAAAUCCAUGGCAGAGCGCCCCAUCCCAGGAAGUAAAGUGAUAGAGCAACAGUCAAGUUGAAGUGGUCAAGGCAAUCUACUCAGGUUAUGCCAAGCCCCUGUCACCAACCAGCCGAUUGACCAGGUUUGCUGCUCUCAUGAGCCCUGUGGAGGUAUUGCAGGACCCUGUGAUGAAGCCUUGAAAUUUUCUAUUUAAAGGUUGCUUCUGGGUAGCCCUCAGGAAUGGGCAACGAGCCGUGGUGAGUUGGGGGGUAUCGAGGAGGAGCUGGGGUCCGCUCAGUUCUCAGCUAUCCUACAUCACCUCGUCUCCUCUUUACCCAGGCGUACCCUGUGACGACAGCGUCGGUCUCAGAGCACGGCCGAAGCGUGCGGGCCGAGGACCCGGUCAUUCUUAGGAGGCGUUGAGUAGCAGAAUUUUCGGGUUUUGGUCGAUAUGCUGCUAAGAUGAUGCACUGAUGUCUGGUUUCCUUUAUCUUGACAGACUAGGAGACAGCAGCCUGGUGACAGCAGGAACCUCCCAGACAGCCUGGUGGCCUUGCUUUGCACCUGAUGUGGAUUCUCAUUCCUGGAGAGCCAAGAGAUAAGUUGAGGGCUGUGACUUACAGAGGGGAUGGAAGGGGGUUGCUGUGUCAGGACUCACCAGGAGGGAUUUUUGAGUCAGCUUUGGAGCUGAGGAUAUCCAGGAAAUGUUGUCUUGAGCCCACACAAAAGUGAAGUGUCACUUUUGAUCCCAGUGCUGAGCUGAGCAGAGGAGGGCAGUCCCGGUGUGUUUUGUCAUGUGGCUAUUGUGCAUUGUGUUGUGUGGCUGUCUCAUGUCUUUUACCUUAGCCCUUUGAGGGGCCUAUCAGAAACCCUGGCAUCAUUCUUAGCAUCUGUGAUCUCUGCAUUUCUUGGCCUGGCACCAAUGCCACAGGACUUUUGACACAGGAGCUUGGACAGGCAUUGGAAUUGAAUUUCUCUUUAGGAGCAUCCAGUCAGAUAUCUUUGCAGGUCUUGUUCUGAGCUGUAUGUACUGCUGUGCAUCGCAAGGAUCCAUUAUGGCAGAUUAGGGCUCGUAAGAAUGCAAGGAUAGGCAGAGGAUUCUGCCCAUAGGAUUCUCGGACAUCCAUCUUUGUAGAUCUUGGAAUAAACUGUUCUCUUAUCAGAUUCUUCCUCCAGGGUUCUCUGAGCCUCAUCGGUCUCACCUCGGUCAUCUAAUCUUGCGUUCUCUCAGUCCUUGCAGUCAUUUUUGCCAAGAGAUUUCUGUCCUUGUUGUGUCCCCCUUGUUUGUCAUGUCGUGUCCUGUGUCACGGGUGUCUGCACAUAUUUUUGCCGGAACUGCUCUGCCCUGCUGCAUAGCCUGGUGUAAUAGGACAAAUCCUGGGGGCUUGAAAUUUGUAGUGUGGGGUGUUGUUGGAUUAUAGAUGGGAUUUGUAGAUGGACCCAAGAUGUCUGGAGCUGUGAAGUUAUCCUGCAGCCCUUUGACGUUUGUCCUCACUUUCUUUUAGAUGCAGGUGGAUAAAAUCCAUGGCAGAGCAGCCCAUCGCAGGAAGUAAAGCCACAUAUCAGAAGUCAAGGCGAGGUGGUCAAGGCAAUCCAUUUGGAGUAUGCAUAACUCCCCAUCACACACUGGCCGAUGGACUGUGAUCAUUGCUCUCGUGAGCCCUGUGGAAGUAUUACAGGACUUGGUGAUGAAGCCUCUGCCUUUCCUAUUUAAAGGUGUCACCCGGGUAGCCUUUGGCCGCGGCUGAGGAGUUGCAGCGGACCCUGCGAUGACGGCGUCAGCCUCCGAGCGCAGCCGAAGCGUGCGGCAUUCAUAAGGGACCCAAGCAUUGCUAGGGGAAGGCUGACUAAGAGACAACAGCCCGGUGACAGCAGGAACUUCCCAGACGGCGCGGCGGCCUUCUUUUGCAUCUGACACGGAUUGGCAUCUGCAGAUAAGUCGAUGGCUGUGACCCACAGAGGGGAUGAUAGUGGGGUGCUGGGUUGGGACUCACAGGGAGGGAUUUUUGAGUCUGCUUUGGAGUUGGGGAUGUCCAAGAAGUGGCCCCUUAGGCCACACAAAAGCCAAGCGUCACUUUUGAUCACAAUGCUGAGGUGCUCAGGGCAGAGCAGUCCCGGAGGGUAUCGUGUCAGUUGUCUACUGUGCGUUCUGUGUUUUUGGCUUUCUCAUGUCUUUUACCUUAGCCCUUUGAGGGGCCUAUCAGAAACCCUGGCAUCAUUCUUAGCAUCUGCGAUCUCUGCAUUUCUUGGCCUGGCACCAAUGCCACAGGACUUUUGACUCAGGAGCUCAGACAGUCAUCAGAAUUGCAUUUCUCUUUAGGAGCAUCCAGUCAGACGUCUUUGAAGGUCUUGUUCUGAGCUGUAUUUACCUUGCAAGGAUCCAUUAUGGCAGAUUAGGGCUUGUAAGAAUGCAAAGAUAGGUAGAGGAUGCUGACCGUAGGAUUCUCAGACAUCCAUCUUUGUAGUUCUUGGAAUAAACCAUUGUCUUAGCAGGUUAUUCCUCCAGGGUUCUGGGAGCCUUAUCAGCUCGCCAUCAGUCUCAUCUCGGUCAUCUAAUCUUCCGUUCUCUCAGUCCUUGCAGUCAUUCUUCUUGCCAAGAGAUUCCUGUUGUGUCCCCCUUGUUUGUCAUGUCGUGUCCUGUGUCACGGGUGUCUGCACAUAUUUGUGCCGGAGCUGCUCUGCCCUGCUGCAUAGCCUGGUGUAAUAGGACAAAUCCUGGGGGCUUGAAAUUUGUAGUGUGGGGUGUAGUUGGAUUAUAGAUGGGAUUUGUAGAUGGACACAGGGUGCCUGGAGCAGUGAAAUUAUCCUGCAGCCCUUUGACAUUUGUCCUGACUUUCUUUCAGAUGCAGGCAGAUAAAAUCUGUGGCAGAGCACCCCAUCCUGGCUGAGGGGGUUCCUCCGAGCAGGAAGUAAAGCUGGAUAUCAGCAGUCAAGGCAAUCCAUUUGGAGUAGGCCGAGCCCCCCCACCCCCCAACCGGCCAAUGGAUCUGGUUUGCUGCUCUUGCGAGCCCUGUGGAGGUUUUGCAGGACUCUGCGAUGAAGCCCUGAACCUUUCUGUUUAAAGGUGCCAUCCGGCUGGCCUUUGGCAGCUGCCGAGGAGUUGCGGCACACCCUGCCACAAUGGCAUCGGCCUCCAAGCGUUGCUGAAGCUAAUGGCAUUAGGAGAUGCUAUGAGGCAGCAGCCCAGUGACAGCGAGAACUUCCCAGAUGGCAAGGCGGCCUUCUUUUGCACCUGAUGCAGAUUGGCAUCCCCAGAUGUCUGAGAGAUAAGUCAAGGGCUACAACUUGCCGAGGGGGUGAAUGUGGGGUGCUGGGUUGGGACUCACCGGGAGGGGUUUUUGAGUCUGCUUUGGGGCUGAGGCUAUCCAAGUAGUGUCCCCUUAGGCCACAUAAAGGGAAAGUGUCACUUUUGAUCCCAGUGCUGAGGUGCGCAGGGUAGAGCAGUCCCAGUGUGUAUCGUGUCACUUGUCUAACGUACCUGGUGUUGUUUAUAUGUCUCAUGUCAUGCAUCGUCUACCUUAGCCCUUUGAGGGGCCCAUCAGAAACCCUGGCAUCAUUCUUAGCAUCUGUGAUCUCUGCAUUUCUUGGCCUGGCACAAAUGCAGUAGGACUUUUGGCUCAGGAGCUCAGACAGGCAUCAGAAUUGCAUUUCUGUUUAGGAGCUUCCAGUCAGAUGUCUUUGCAGGUCUUGUUCUGAGCUGUAUGUACCUUGCAAGGAUCCAUUAUGGCAGAUUAGGGCUUGUAAGAAUGCAAGGAUAGGUAGAGGAUGCUGACUGUAGGAGUCUCAGACAUCCGUCUUUGUAGAUCUUGGAAUAAACUGUUCUCUUAUCAGAUUCUUCCUCCAGGGUUCUCUGAGCCUCAUCAGCUUGCCAUCAGUCUCAUCUCGGUCAUCUAAUCUUCCGUUCUCUCAGUCCUUGCAGUCAUUCUUCUUGCCAAGAGAUUCCUGUCCCUGUUGUGUCCCCCUUGUUUGUCAUGUCAUGUCCUGUGUCACGGGUGUCUGCACAUAUUUGUGCCGGAGCUGCUCUGCCCUGCUGCAUAGCCUGGUGUAAUAGGACAAAUCCUGGGGGCUUGAAAUUUGUAGUCUGGGCUGUAGUUGGACUCUAGAUGAUAUUCCUAGGCUGACCCAGAUGUCUGGAGCUGUGAAGUUGUCCUGCAGCCCUUUUACAUUUUUCCUGACUUUCUUUCAGAUGCAGAUGGAUAAAAUCCAUGGCAGAGCGCCCCAUCCCAGGAAGUAAAGUGAUAGAGCAACAGUCAAGUUGAAGUGGUCAAGGCAAUCUACUCAGGUUAUGCCAAGCCCCUGUCACCAACCAGCCGAUUGACCAGGUUUGCUGCUCUCAUGAGCCCUGUGGAGGUAUUGCAGGACCCUGUGAUGAAGCCUUGAAAUUUUCUAUUUAAAGGUUGCUUCUGGGUAGCCCUCAGGAAUGGGCAACGAGCCGUGGUGAGUUGGGGGGUAUCGAGGAGGAGCUGGGGUCCGCUCAGUUCUCAGCUAUCCUACAUCACCUCGUCUCCUCUUUACCCAGGCGUACCCUGUGACGACAGCGUCGGUCUCAGAGCACGGCCGAAGCGUGCGGGCCGAGGACCCGGUCAUUCUUAGGAGGCGUUGAGUAGCAGAAUUUUCGGGUUUUGGUCGAUAUGCUGCUAAGAUGAUGCACUGAUGUCUGGUUUCCUUUAUCUUGACAGACUAGGAGACAGCAGCCUGGUGACAGCAGGAACCUCCCAGACAGCCUGGUGGCCUUGCUUUGCACCUGAUGUGGAUUCUCAUUCCUGGAGAGCCAAGAGAUAAGUUGAGGGCUGUGACUUACAGAGGGGAUGGAAGGGGGUUGCUGUGUCAGGACUCACCAGGAGGGAUUUUUGAGUCAGCUUUGGAGCUGAGGAUAUCCAGGAAAUGUUGUCUUGAGCCCACACAAAAGUGAAGUGUCACUUUUGAUCCCAGUGCUGAGCUGAGCAGAGGAGGGCAGUCCCGGUGUGUUUUGUCAUGUGGCUAUUGUGCAUUGUGUUGUGUGGCUGUCUCAUGUCUUUUACCUUAGCCCUUUGAGGGGCCUAUCAGAAACCCUGGCAUCAUUCUUAGCAUCUGUGAUCUCUGCAUUUCUUGGCCUGGCACCAAUGCCACAGGACUUUUGACACAGGAGCUUGGACAGGCAUUGGAAUUGAAUUUCUCUUUAGGAGCAUCCAGUCAGAUAUCUUUGCAGGUCUUGUUCUGAGCUGUAUGUACUGCUGUGCAUCGCAAGGAUCCAUUAUGGCAGAUUAGGGCUCGUAAGAAUGCAAGGAUAGGCAGAGGAUUCUGCCCAUAGGAUUCUCGGACAUCCAUCUUUGUAGAUCUUGGAAUAAACUGUUCUCUUAUCAGAUUCUUCCUCCAGGGUUCUCUGAGCCUCAUCGGUCUCACCUCGGUCAUCUAAUCUUGCGUUCUCUCAGUCCUUGCAGUCAUUUUUGCCAAGAGAUUUCUGUCCUUGUUGUGUCCCCCUUGUUUGUCAUGUCGUGUCCUGUGUCACGGGUGUCUGCACAUAUUUUUGCCGGAACUGCUCUGCCCUGCUGCAUAGCCUGGUGUAAUAGGACAAAUCCUGGGGGCUUGAAAUUUGUAGUGUGGGGUGUUGUUGGAUUAUAGAUGGGAUUUGUAGAUGGACCCAAGAUGUCUGGAGCUGUGAAGUUAUCCUGCAGCCCUUUGACGUUUGUCCUCACUUUCUUUUAGAUGCAGGUGGAUAAAAUCCAUGGCAGAGCAGCCCAUCGCAGGUGCGUGGGUUGCCCUGAGCAGGAAGUAAAGCCACAUAUCAGAAGUCAAGGCGAGGUGGUCAAGGCAAUCCAUUUGGAGUAUGCAUAACUCCCCAUCACACACUGGCCGAUGGACUGUGAUCAUUGCUCUCGUGAGCCCUGUGGAAGUAUUACAGGACUUGGUGAUGAAGCCUCUGCCUUUCCUAUUUAAAGGUGUCACCCGGGUAGCCUUUGGCCGCGGCUGAGGAGUUGCAGCGGACCCUGCGAUGACGGCGUCAGCCUCCGAGCGCAGCCGAAGCGUGCGGCAUUCAUAAGGGACCCAAGCAUUGCUAGGGGAAGGCUGACUAAGAGACAACAGCCCGGUGACAGCAGGAACUUCCCAGACGGCGCGGCGGCCUUCUUUUGCAUCUGACACGGAUUGGCAUCUGCAGAUAAGUCGAUGGCUGUGACCCACAGAGGGGAUGAUAGUGGGGUGCUGGGUUGGGACUCACAGGGAGGGAUUUUUGAGUCUGCUUUGGAGUUGGGGAUGUCCAAGAAGUGGCCCCUUAGGCCACACAAAAGCCAAGCGUCACUUUUGAUCACAAUGCUGAGGUGCUCAGGGCAGAGCAGUCCCGGAGGGUAUCGUGUCAGUUGUCUACUGUGCGUUCUGUGUUUUUGGCUUUCUCAUGUCUUUUACCUUAGCCCUUUGAGGGGCCUAUCAGAAACCCUGGCAUCAUUCUUAGCAUCUGCGAUCUCUGCAUUUCUUGGCCUGGCACCAAUGCCACAGGACUUUUGACUCAGGAGCUCAGACAGUCAUCAGAAUUGCAUUUCUCUUUAGGAGCAUCCAGUCAGACGUCUUUGAAGGUCUUGUUCUGAGCUGUAUUUACCUUGCAAGGAUCCAUUAUGGCAGAUUAGGGCUUGUAAGAAUGCAAAGAUAGGUAGAGGAUGCUGACCGUAGGAUUCUCAGACAUCCAUCUUUGUAGUUCUUGGAAUAAACCAUUGUCUUAGCAGGUUAUUCCUCCAGGGUUCUGGGAGCCUUAUCAGCUCGCCAUCAGUCUCAUCUCGGUCAUCUAAUCUUCCGUUCUCUCAGUCCUUGCAGUCAUUCUUCUUGCCAAGAGAUUCCUGUUGUGUCCCCCUUGUUUGUCAUGUCGUGUCCUGUGUCACGGGUGUCUGCACAUAUUUGUGCCGGAGCUGCUCUGCCCUGCUGCAUAGCCUGGUGUAAUAGGACAAAUCCUGGGGGCUUGAAAUUUGUAGUGUGGGGUGUAGUUGGAUUAUAGAUGGGAUUUGUAGAUGGACACAGGGUGCCUGGAGCAGUGAAAUUAUCCUGCAGCCCUUUGACAUUUGUCCUGACUUUCUUUCAGAUGCAGGCAGAUAAAAUCUGUGGCAGAGCACCCCAUCCUGGCUGAGGGGGUUCCUCCGAGCAGGAAGUAAAGCUGGAUAUCAGCAGUCAAGGCAAUCCAUUUGGAGUAGGCCGAGCCCCCCCACCCCCCAACCGGCCAAUGGAUCUGGUUUGCUGCUCUUGCGAGCCCUGUGGAGGUUUUGCAGGACUCUGCGAUGAAGCCCUGAACCUUUCUGUUUAAAGGUGCCAUCCGGCUGGCCUUUGGCAGCUGCCGAGGAGUUGCGGCACACCCUGCCACAAUGGCAUCGGCCUCCAAGCGUUGCUGAAGCUAAUGGCAUUAGGAGAUGCUAUGAGGCAGCAGCCCAGUGACAGCGAGAACUUCCCAGAUGGCAAGGCGGCCUUCUUUUGCACCUGAUGCAGAUUGGCAUCCCCAGAUGUCUGAGAGAUAAGUCAAGGGCUACAACUUGCCGAGGGGGUGAAUGUGGGGUGCUGGGUUGGGACUCACCGGGAGGGGUUUUUGAGUCUGCUUUGGGGCUGAGGCUAUCCAAGUAGUGUCCCCUUAGGCCACAUAAAGGGAAAGUGUCACUUUUGAUCCCAGUGCUGAGGUGCGCAGGGUAGAGCAGUCCCAGUGUGUAUCGUGUCACUUGUCUAACGUACCUGGUGUUGUUUAUAUGUCUCAUGUCAUGCAUCGUCUACCUUAGCCCUUUGAGGGGCCCAUCAGAAACCCUGGCAUCAUUCUUAGCAUCUGUGAUCUCUGCAUUUCUUGGCCUGGCACAAAUGCAGUAGGACUUUUGGCUCAGGAGCUCAGACAGGCAUCAGAAUUGCAUUUCUGUUUAGGAGCUUCCAGUCAGAUGUCUUUGCAGGUCUUGUUCUGAGCUGUACGUACUGCUGUGCAUCGCAAGGAUCCAUUAUGGCAGAUUAGGGCUCGUAAGAAUGCAAAGAUAGGUAGAGGAUUCUGACCGUAGGAUUCUCAGAUGUCCAUCUUUGCACUUCUUUGACAAAAUCAUUCUCUUAGGAGAUACUUCCUCCCUGGUUGUCUGAGCCUCAUCAUCUCACUGUCAAUCUCACCUCAGUCAUUUCAUUUUCCAUUCUCUCAGUCCUUGCAGUCAUUCUUCUUGUCAAGAGAUAGUAGUCCCUGUUGUGUCCUCAUUGUUUGUCCUGUCCCGUGUCACGGGCGUCCGCACACGUUUGUGUCGGAGCUGCUCUGCCCUGCCGCGUAGCCUGGUGUAGUAGGACACAUCCUGGGGGCUUGGAAUUUGUAAUGUGGGGUGUAGUUGGAUUCUAGAUGGUAUUCCUAGGUUGACUCUAGGAAGUUGUCUGGAGCUGUGAAGUUAUCCUGCUGCCCUUUGAACUUUGUCCUGACUCUGUUUCAGAUGCAGACAGAUAAAAUCCAUGGCAGAACUCCCUAUCCCAGGAAGUAAAGCCAUCUAGCAGCAGUCAAGGCAAAGUGGUCGAGGCAGUCCACUUUCAGUCCAUGCCAGCUGAGGAUGCCCGAUGCCAGGUACCUUCCAGGCAGACUCUGGAGUCAAAUCAAGAUUUGAGGUACCGCGAGGAGCUUCGUAGGCAAAGUUUGGAGAGAACGCCACCGAAGCACACGAGACCGUCUCAACGUCCACGUCCCACCGGGGAUGGAUUUUGUCAGCUCGUCAUCCAAAAGCUAAGUGUUGGGGUCCAUAGUUGG
This is a long non-coding RNA of Passer domesticus (house sparrow), 14807 nucleotides long. RefSeq lists it as uncharacterized. The record is from RefSeq and is a predicted model, not a curated record. NCBI's taxonomy places the organism in Eukaryota, Metazoa, Chordata, Aves, Passeriformes, Passeridae. The transcript has 38 exons.